This is a long non-coding RNA of Alosa sapidissima (American shad), 473 nucleotides long. RefSeq lists it as uncharacterized. The transcript is spliced from 3 exons. The record is from RefSeq and is a predicted model, not a curated record. NCBI's taxonomy places the organism in Eukaryota, Metazoa, Chordata, Actinopteri, Clupeiformes, Clupeidae.
AAGGUAAAGAAUCACAAAGGCUAUUGCAGCGCUGAGAGUUCACACCUACAAAGUUGCCAAAUAGAAGGACACAGACGGAGUCGAGUCUACAGAUGAGCGUGGCUGCCAGCGAUGCACUCACGUUGGUUCGUUCCACUCCUCCCCCGCUGGACUAGAAAGUGAUGGUAGUUUCUACUGUUUGAAGAGAAGGUCAAAAUGCCUGCGAUUGCUUUGUACACUCGAGAAGACGCUGUUUCGGGAGGACCAUGCGUGAGUGUCCUCGCUUUUCUGAAGAUUAUCCCUUGACAGCCCGAUUUUUACGAACGGAAAUGCCACAUCUUUUCAGUCUGUUCUAAAAUGCUUGGCAAGGAAUCACUUCCAUGUUAUCAGUGUUCCUCUUACAGCUGCACCUGGGAGAGAAAAUGGUGAUGGAUCUGGAAUCCCCCCCCCCCACACACACACACACACACACACACACACACAUACUCACACAC